UACGGAAGGCAGCAGUGGGGAAUAUUGCACAAUGGGCGCAAGCCUGAUGCAGCCAUGCCGCGUGUAUGAAAAGGCCUUCGGGUUGUAAAGUACUUUCAGUCGUGAGGAAGGUGUUAAGGUUAAUAACCUUAGCAAUUGACGUUAGCGACAGAAGAAGCACCGGCUAACUCCGUGCCAGCAGCCGCGGUAAUACGGAGGGUGCGAGCGUUAAUCGGAAUUACUGGGCGUAAAGGGCACGCAGGCGGUUAAUUAAGUUGGAUGUGAAAUCCCCGGGCUUAACCUGGGAAUGGCAUUCAAGACUGGUUAGCUAGAGUCUUGUAGAGGGGGUAGAAUUCCAUGUGUAGCGGUGAAAUGCGUAGAGAUGUGGAGGAAUACCGGUGGCGAAGGCGGCCCCUGGACAAAGACUGACGCUCAUGUGCGAAAGCGUGGGGAGCAAACAGGGAUUAGAUA
This 450-nucleotide ribosomal RNA is filed under the name uncultured bacterium. Its description in RNAcentral is "bacterial SSU rRNA". It matches the Rfam family "Bacterial small subunit ribosomal RNA", at positions 340 to 784 of the family's 1533-position model. The record is from RNAcentral.